CCUACGGGUGGCUGCAGUGAGGAAUAUUGGUCAAUGGGCGCGAGCCUGAACCAGCCAAGUAGCGUGAAGGAUGACUGCCCUACGGGUUGUAAACUUCUUUUAUACAGGAAUAAAGUGAGGCACGUGUGCCUUUUUGCAUGUACUUUAUGAAUAAGGAUCGGCUAACUCCGUGCCAGCAGCCGCGGUAAUACGGAGGAUCCGGGCGUUAUCCGGAUUUAUUGGGUUUAAAGGGAGCGUAGGUGGGUUGUUAAGUCAGUUGUGAAAGGUUGCGGCUCAACCGUAAAAUGGCAAUGGGUACUGGGAGCCUUGAGUACAGUGGAGGUAGGCGGAAUUCGUGGUGUAGCGGUGAAAUGCUUAGAUAUCACGAAGAACUCCGAUUGCGAAGGCAGCCUACUAAAGUGUCACUGACAUUGAUGCUCGAAAGUGCGGGUAUCAAACAGGAUUAGAUACCCGAGUAGUC
RNAcentral lists this ribosomal RNA (460 nucleotides) under uncultured bacterium. RNAcentral's name for it is "partial 16S ribosomal RNA". It matches the Rfam family "Bacterial small subunit ribosomal RNA", at positions 338 to 795 of the family's 1533-position model. The record is from RNAcentral.